This is a long non-coding RNA of Cyprinus carpio carpio, 591 nucleotides long. The record is from Ensembl. Lineage: Eukaryota; Metazoa; Chordata; Actinopteri; Cypriniformes; Cyprinidae.
AUCUAGUAUUCCUGCAAUUGUUAUUUUAUAAAGUGUCAUUAUGGAUUUUUUUUUUACCCAGAAGCAAUGGUUUAAAGUUAAACACAUCUUAAGGAUGGAUUUGUUUCUUACAAACAUGCAGCUUUUCACUUCAUUAACUGAUGGACUAGAGUUCAGACAUUAACUGAUGGACUGGAUUUGUGUGGAUUACUUGUGGAUUAUUGUGAUGUUGUUGCACUCUCAUUCUGACGGCACCCAUUCACUGCAGAGGAUCCACUGGUGAUGGGAUGAAAUUUCUCCAAAUCUUUUCCAGUUUACAUCUUGGAUGGCCAGAGGAGUGCACUGAAAUGACCCCGAUAGACUGCUGCAUGGGUCCACCAGAUCCAGUCUGUAUCCAAGUCAGAGGGUCACUGCAGUCACCCAGAUUCAGUAUGUAUCCAUGGUGGAUCAGCACCUAGAAAGGACCUCUACAGCCCUGAAAGACAGUGGAGACCAGGACUAGAGCCCCAGAUACAGAUCCCCUGUAAAGACCUUGUCUCAGACGACCACCGGGACAGACCACAGGAAACAGAUGAUUCUUCUGCACAAUCUGACUUUGCUGCAGCCUGGAAU